RNAcentral lists this unclassified non-coding RNA (325 nucleotides) under uncultured fungus. RNAcentral describes it as "partial contains small subunit ribosomal RNA, internal transcribed spacer 1, and 5.8S ribosomal RNA". The stretch from base 1 to 73 matches the Rfam family "Eukaryotic small subunit ribosomal RNA", at positions 1759 to 1831 of the family's 1831-position model. Lineage: Eukaryota; Fungi. The record is from RNAcentral.
GCAAACUUGGUCAUUUAGAGGAAGUAAAAGUCGUAACAAGGUUUCCGUAGGUGAACCUGCGGAAGGAUCAUUACUGAAUCGUUGACAAGAGUUGUUGCUGGUCUCCAAACGGGGGCAUGUGCACGCUCUGUUCACACACAUCCACUCACACCCUGUGCACCCUCUGUAGUUCCAUGGUUGGGGGGCCUGUCUCCCUGCCGUGGUUCUGCAUCUUUACAUACACACACUGUAACAAAGUCUCAUGGAAUGCAUGCUGCGUUUAACGCAAUACAAUACAACUUUCAGCAACGGAUCUCUUGGCUCUCGCAUCGAUGAAGAACGCAGC